GACCGGAGUGGACGCAUCACUGGUGUUCGGGUUGUCAUGCCAAUGGCAUUGCCCGGUAGCUAAAUGCGGAAAAGAUAAGUGCUGAAAGCAUCUAAGCACGAAACUUGCCCCAAGAUGAGUUCUCCCUGAGACUUAGAGUCUCCUGAAGGAACGUUGAAGACGACGACGUUGAUAGGCCGGGUGUGUAAGCGCAGCGAUGCGUUGAGCUAACCGGUACUAAUGAACCGUGAGGCUUAACCUUACAACGCCGAAG
Molecule: ribosomal RNA, 253 nt
Filed under: Salmonella enterica
Lineage: Bacteria; Pseudomonadati; Pseudomonadota; Gammaproteobacteria; Enterobacterales; Enterobacteriaceae
Description: partial 23S ribosomal RNA
Rfam family: Bacterial large subunit ribosomal RNA
Source: RNAcentral